GGAAGUAAAAGUCGUAACAAGGUCUCCGUUGGUGAACCAGCGGAGGGAUCAUUACCGAGUUUACAACUCCCAAACCCAAUGUGAACGUUACCAAACUGUUGCCUCGGCGGGAUCUCUGCCCCGGGUGCGUCGCAGCCCCGGACCAAGGCGCCCGCCGGAGGACCAACCAAAACUCUUAUUGUAUACCCCCUCGCGGGUUUUUUACUAUCUGAGCCAUCUCGGCGCCCCUCGUGGGCGUUUCGAAAAUGAAUCAAAACUUUCAACAACGGAUCUCUUGGUUCUGGCAUCGAUGAAGAACGCAGCGAAAUGCGAUAAGUAAUGUGAAUUGCAGAAUUCAGUGAAUCAUCGAAUCUUUGAACGCACAUUGCGCCCGCCAGUAUUCUGGCGGGCAUGCCUGUCCGAGCGUCAUUUCAACCCUCGAACCCCUCCGGGGGGUCGGCGUUGGGGAUCGGCCCUUUACGGGGCCGGCCCCGAAAUACAGUGGCGGUCUCGCCGCAGCCUCUCCUGCGCAGUAGUUUGCACACUCGCAUCGGGAGCGCGGCGCGUCCACAGCCGUUAAACACCCCAAACUUCUGAAAUGUUGACCUCGGAUCAGGUAGGAAUACCCGCUGAACUUAACCUCCGCUUAUUGAUAUGC
This 637-nucleotide ribosomal RNA is filed under the name Trichoderma sp. TXM3. Its description in RNAcentral is "eukaryotic LSU rRNA". The stretch from base 255 to 408 matches the Rfam family "5.8S ribosomal RNA". Lineage: Eukaryota; Fungi; Ascomycota; Sordariomycetes; Hypocreales; Hypocreaceae. The record is from RNAcentral.